RNAcentral lists this unclassified non-coding RNA (231 nucleotides) under plant metagenome. RNAcentral describes it as "partial contains small subunit ribosomal RNA, internal transcribed spacer 1, and 5.8S ribosomal RNA". The record is from RNAcentral.
UCUCCGUUGGUGAACCAGCGGAGGGAUCAUUACAGGAUCGAAAGACUCCUAUAACCCCUGUGAACUUACUACAAAUACGUUGCUUCGGCGGGUGCCCCGGGUCUCCCGGGGCGUUCAGCCCGCCGGCAGCCUUCAAAUUCUGUUUCUUUGCGUUGGCAUCUCGAGUAUACAAAAAUAAGUUAAAACUUUCAACAACGGAUCUCUUGGUUCUGGCAUCGAUGAAAACGCAGC